Molecule: non-coding RNA, 172 nt
Filed under: uncultured Limosilactobacillus sp.
Lineage: Bacteria; Bacillati; Bacillota; Bacilli; Lactobacillales; Lactobacillaceae
Description: Lysine riboswitch
Rfam family: Lysine riboswitch aptamer
About the family: Riboswitches are metabolite binding domains within certain messenger RNAs that serve as precision sensors for their corresponding targets. Allosteric rearrangement of mRNA structure is mediated by ligand binding, and this results in modulation of gene expression.
Source: RNAcentral
UCGAAGAGGCGCGACUAACAAAAGUAGCGAUUUAGAGCCAGGAUCAGGCGUUGACUAAUCGUGAAAGGGGCGGUCGCCGAGGUGACAAGCAUGAUCACUGCUUGUUUAACCGGGUCGUGAUUUAAGAGAUCACGGACUGUCGUAAACUACAAAUGUUUACGGUGCGCUAUCG